CUUCAGUGAUGAUACGAUGACGAGUCUGAACGGGUAAAUCUUUUCCAGUGGGUUGUGUCAACAUCACGUUCUGUGCUGUAGGCUUUAGCCCAUUGAGUUAAGAAUACCAGUUGUAUGAUGACCUUGAGGCAUUUGUCUGAGAAGG
Small nucleolar RNA from Bombina bombina (fire-bellied toad), 145 nucleotides. Lineage: Eukaryota; Metazoa; Chordata; Amphibia; Anura; Bombinatoridae. The record is from RefSeq and is a predicted model, not a curated record.